UGGGUUUAUGUGACUUUUUUUUCCACACUAGAAGCAUGUUGGAAUGAUUGAUCUUUCUUUACUUUUCUUCUGAAACUUUGGAUUUUGUUUUUUGUGCCUUAGGAAUUCCUUGAAUUUUCAAAACAUAAGAUUUGUUUCUUCAUCACUUUCACUUUUGAAGUCUUCAUCUUCUGCCUUCGUGUCUAUGGCAUCUAUAGAUUUUAGUCCAAUACUUUUCUUCUUUUU
Molecule: long non-coding RNA, 225 nt
Filed under: Lathyrus oleraceus (garden pea)
Lineage: Eukaryota; Viridiplantae; Streptophyta; Magnoliopsida; Fabales; Fabaceae
Description: Pisum sativum (pea) long non-coding RNA (PSAT_LNC024786)
Source: RNAcentral